AUGAUGCCAUUUUUAAGGAAGCCAGCAUGGCUGAAACUCUUUCCAGUUCCAGAACCGGCUGCCAAGACUUUCAAAGGUUCCAGGUUGGAUAUCAUCGUAUACUGUAAGUUGGAAUCAGACACUACAGUAUAGAUGAUGUACUACCUUGAUUUCCUUGUCCACCUGACCACCAAGAUCUUAAAGCCCUCAGAUGCAGUAUUGGGUAGGAGAUAGAGAACAGGUUCAUUUCUUAAUCUUAAAGUGCCUAUCCUAUCUAGUUCUAGAGAGGUGAGAACUGUCUGUGAUUACUCAGCGAUGGUGAAAGUGCAAAGGAACUCUGCAUACAUACUCAGCAGCAACAUCUUUAUUCUGCAGUGAUUCCAGGGCUGAGUUCUGGCACUCCCAAGAUGCUCAGAAGCUAAGCCUGGGUGAUCACCCACCUACUGUAAACCCUGCAUUUCUGUGCAACAGGGUAGCCUACAGAAGGCUUAGAAGAGUGUCAAAACAGCUGAGAUGAAACACCAAACCACCCCCACCUGGCAAGCCUGCUUUGAGACAAACUUUGUGGUGUGUCGGUAAAACCGUUACCAUUACUGAGUUUAGUAAUGGUAAUGGUUAUUCUGCCACCCCAGCCCACAUCCAGAAGUUGGGGAGCACCAUCCUCCAGUUUGACAUCUCCUUUCCAGAAGAUAUCUCUCCUAUGCGGCUGUCAAAAAUAAAAAAUAGCUCCAGAAC
This is a long non-coding RNA of Eublepharis macularius, 714 nucleotides long. RefSeq lists it as uncharacterized. Lineage: Eukaryota; Metazoa; Chordata; Lepidosauria; Squamata; Eublepharidae. The transcript has 2 exons. The record is from RefSeq and is a predicted model, not a curated record.